RNAcentral lists this transfer RNA (65 nucleotides) under Cerynia lineola. RNAcentral's name for it is "tRNA-Asn". It matches the Rfam family "tRNA". From Rfam's summary of the family: Transfer RNA (tRNA) molecules are approximately 80 nucleotides in length. Their secondary structure includes four short double-helical elements and three loops (D, anti-codon, and T loops). The record is from RNAcentral. Lineage: Eukaryota; Metazoa; Arthropoda; Insecta; Hemiptera; Flatidae.
UUACUUAUAGCUUAAGAACAAAAAGCAUUUCAUUGUUAAUGAAAAGAUGAAUAAAUCUAAGUAAA